This 615-nucleotide long non-coding RNA is filed under the name Oryctolagus cuniculus (rabbit). RNAcentral's name for it is "lncRNA (ENSOCUG00000037413.1)". The record is from RNAcentral. Lineage: Eukaryota; Metazoa; Chordata; Mammalia; Lagomorpha; Leporidae.
AUCCGUUAUUGGAGUUCCAGUUCAAGUCCUGGCUAUGGCAGUUCCAAUCCAGGUUCCUGUUAGUGCACCUGGGAAGGCAGUAGAUGAUGGCCCAAGUUUCUGGGCCCCUGGCGCUUAUGUGGGAGACUAAGAUGAAGUUCCUGCCUCCUGGCUUUGGCCUGGCCCAGACCUGGUAGUUGUGGCUAUUCAGAGAGCAAACUCAGAGAUGGACAGUCUUCAUUUAUUGAAAUCUUUUUGUCUGUCUUUUACAGAAAUAAACGAAGAUUAAAAUAUAUUACCUCUGAGGGAUUAUUUCCAAGUCUUUCGUGGAUAUCUAGGGAAGGUGCCUGGGAAGAAAUGAAGUGGAUCUGCAUUGGACAAGGAGAAAUAGUUAGAUGAUACAUCGUUCUUACCUCUUGUUCAAGGUGGAAGAUAAAGUCCUAUAAGCAUGGGGCCGGAGACAAUAGUGGCACUGACUUUUAAGCUUCACCGGCAUUGAUGUAAUCUAGACUGCAAAACGUUUUCUUCAUUUUUCUAAAUGUAUAGCAUGAUUAGAUCAUUUUAUGUUUCUCUUUAUUAUAAUCUUGCUAUGUUCCAUUAGGCUCUGGGGGACAAUAAAAUUUGAACAUGCCAACA